This 727-nucleotide ribosomal RNA is filed under the name uncultured bacterium. RNAcentral describes it as "bacterial SSU rRNA". It matches the Rfam family "Bacterial small subunit ribosomal RNA", at positions 140 to 853 of the family's 1533-position model. The record is from RNAcentral.
GGGAUACACUUUGGAAACAGGUGCUAAUACCGUAUAACACUAUUUUCCGCAUGGAAGAAAGUUGAAAGGCGCUUUUGCGUCACUGAUGGAUGGACCCGCGGUGCAUUAGCUAGUUGGUGAGGUAACGGCUCACCAAGGCCACGAUGCAUAGCCGACCUGAGAGGGUGAUCGGCCACACUGGGACUGAGACACGGCCCAGACUCCUACGGGAGGCAGCAGUAGGGAAUCUUCGGCAAUGGACGAAAGUCUGACCGAGCAACGCCGCGUGAGUGAAGAAGGUUUUCGGAUCGUAAAACUCUGUUGUUAGAGAAGAACAAGGAUGAGAGUAGAACGUUCAUCCCUUGACGGUAUCUAACCAGAAAGCCACGGCUAACUACGUGCCAGCAGCCGCGGUAAUACGUAGGUGGCAAGCGUUGUCCGGAUUUAUUGGGCGUAAAGCGAGCGCAGGCGGUUUCUUAAGUCUGAUGUGAAAGCCCCCGGCUCAACCGGGGAGGGUCAUUGGAAACUGGGAGACUUGAGUGCAGAAGAGGAGAGUGGAAUUCCAUGUGUAGCGGUGAAAUGCGUAGAUAUAUGGAGGAACACCAGUGGCGAAGGCGGCUCUCUGGUCUGUAACUGACGCUGAGGCUCGAAAGCGUGGGGAGCGAACAGGAUUAGAUACCCUGGUAGUCCACGCCGUAAACGAUGAGUGCUAAGUGUUGGAGGGUUUCCGCCCUUCAGUGCUGCAGCA